Brachypodium distachyon (stiff brome) is the source of this 125-nucleotide non-coding RNA. Lineage: Eukaryota; Viridiplantae; Streptophyta; Magnoliopsida; Poales; Poaceae. The record is from Rfam.
GUAAUACUCCCUCCGUCCCAUAUUAAGUGACUCAAAAUUGUCCAAACACAGAUGUAUCUAUACUCAAAAAGCGUCUAGAUACAUGUAACAUUUUGUCACUUAAUAUGGGACGGAGGGAGUACAAC